RNAcentral lists this ribosomal RNA (460 nucleotides) under uncultured bacterium. Its description in RNAcentral is "partial 16S ribosomal RNA". It matches the Rfam family "Bacterial small subunit ribosomal RNA", at positions 338 to 795 of the family's 1533-position model. The record is from RNAcentral.
CCUACGGGUGGCAGCAGUGAGGAAUAUUGGUCAAUGGACGAGAGUCUGAACCAGCCAAGUAGCGUGAAGGAUGACUGCCCUAUGGGUUGUAAACUUCUUUUAUAUGGGAAUAAAAUGUUCCACGUGUGGGAUUUUGUAUGUACCAUAUGAAUAAGGAUCGGCUAACUCCGUGCCAGCAGCCGCGGUAAUACGGAGGAUCCGAGCGUUAUCCGGAUUUAUUGGGUUUAAAGGGAGCGUAGGUGGAUGGUUAAGUCAGUUGUGAAAGUUUGCGGCUCAACCGUAGAAUUGCAGUUGAAACUGGCAGUCUUGAGUACAGUAGAAGUGGGCGGAAUUCGUGGUGUAGCGGUGAAAUGCUUAGAUAUCACGAAGAACUCCGAUUGCGAAGGCAGUUCACUGGACUGCAACUGACACUGAUGCUCGAAAGUGUGGGUAUCAAACAGGAUUAGAUACCCGAGUAGUC